GCUGCCUUUCAUAAAUACUAGGUUAAAAAGUUUUAAUAGGGGUUCUAAUAAUACUGGCAUACCGCAUUUAAUCAUUUCGUUAGAAAUUAAGUCUUCAGCUGAUGAUUUACCAUUUUUAAGUGUUUUAACUGCAUUUAAAAUUUCAGCUGGCUGAAUGUGUUUAUUAAAUUCGUUGUCAGAGUUGCAUGUAUUUAGUGUCUUUUUUAAGGCUGUUAAUUUUUCAAUAAUUAUGUCAUGGAAUUUAUUGUUU
This 250-nucleotide long non-coding RNA is filed under the name Mytilus galloprovincialis (Mediterranean mussel). Lineage: Eukaryota; Metazoa; Mollusca; Bivalvia; Mytilida; Mytilidae. The record is from RNAcentral.